Molecule: ribosomal RNA, 463 nt
Filed under: uncultured bacterium
Lineage: Bacteria
Description: bacterial SSU rRNA
Rfam family: Bacterial small subunit ribosomal RNA
Source: RNAcentral
CCAGACUCCUACGGGAGGCAGCAGUGAGGAAUAUUGGUCAAUGGCCGCAGGGCUGAACCAGCCAAGUCGCGUGAGGGAUGACGGUCCUAUGGAUUGUAAACCUCUUUUGUCAGGGAGCAAAGGGCGCCACGUGUGGCGCUUUGCGAGUACCUGAAGAAAAAGCAUCGGCUAACUCCGUGCCAGCAGCCGCGGUAAUACGGAGGAUGCGAGCGUUAUCCGGAUUUAUUGGGUUUAAAGGGUGCGCAGGCGGAAUGUCAAGUCAGCGGUAAAAUUUCGGGGCUCAACCCCGUCGUGCCGUUGAAACUGUGUCCCUUGAGUGCGCGAAGGGUAGGCGGAAUGCGUGGUGUAGCGGUGAAAUGCAUAGAUAUCACGCAGAACUCCGAUCGCGAAGGCAGCCUACCGGCGCGCUACUGACGCUCAUGCACGAAAGCGUGGGUAUCGAACAGGAUUAGAUACCCGAGUA